RNAcentral lists this ribosomal RNA (253 nucleotides) under uncultured bacterium. RNAcentral describes it as "partial 16S ribosomal RNA". It matches the Rfam family "Bacterial small subunit ribosomal RNA", at positions 524 to 776 of the family's 1533-position model. The record is from RNAcentral.
UACGGAGGGGGCUAGCGUUGUUCGGAAUUACUGGGCGUAAAGCGCACGUAGGCGGCUUUGUAAGUUAGAGGUGAAAGCCCGGAGCUCAACUCCGGAACUGCCUUUAAGACUGCAUCGCUUGACCGUCGGAGAGGUAAGUGGAAUUCCGAGUGUAGAGGUGAAAUUCGUAGAUAUUCGGAAGAACACCAGUGGCGAAGGCGACUUACUGGACGACUGUUGACGCUGAGGUGCGAAAGCGUGGGGAGCAAACAGG